UACGUAGGGCGCAAGCGUUGUCCGGAAUUAUUGGGCGUAAAGAGCUCGUAGGCGGCUUGUCACGUCUGCUGUGAAAUCCCAACGCUUAACGUUGGGCGUGCAGUGGGUACGGGCAGGCUAGAGUGCGGUAGGGGUGACUGGAAUUCCUGGUGUAGCGGUGGAAUGCGCAGAUAUCAGGAGGAACACCGAUGGCGAAGGCAGGUCACUGGGCCGCAACUGACGCUGAGGAGCGAAAGCAUGGGGAGCGAACAGG
RNAcentral lists this ribosomal RNA (253 nucleotides) under uncultured bacterium. RNAcentral's name for it is "partial 16S ribosomal RNA". It matches the Rfam family "Bacterial small subunit ribosomal RNA", at positions 524 to 776 of the family's 1533-position model. The record is from RNAcentral.